Molecule: long non-coding RNA, 628 nt
Organism: Notolabrus celidotus (New Zealand spotty)
Lineage: Eukaryota; Metazoa; Chordata; Actinopteri; Labriformes; Labridae
Exons: 3
Source: RefSeq, a predicted model, not a curated record
ACUUCCGUUGCCUAGCAGUAACGCGAAAUGCCGAUGGGAGUCAGGAAGUGGUUAGCAGCCGUCGGAGCAGAAACAUGACACAUAAGAGAAAUGCUCAAGGUAUGCGUUGUUUACGGUUGCUCUAACCGAUCAAACAGAGACAAGUCGACAGGUUUUUAUCGUUGAAACUGUCCAUCAGUUACUGGAUGAGAAUCAACACUACCUGAGUCUGCUGACUUCUCUGCUGCGUAACGCCACCCAGGAGAUGGAGCAGACGGAUCAGGACUGGAGCGGGACUUCCAUCCAGAGCAGCUGAAGCUGAACCCCAGAAGCCGUAGUAGAGACUGAUCAAAGAGCGCCACCGAUGUCAAGAGAUUAUGUCAUAAACAAGUGCCUUAUCAUCAGAGUAACAACCUAAAGCUUUGUGAUUCCAUACCGUCUUUAACAUCCAUGUGAAGCUGCAAGACAAUGUGUGAAGCAACCAGAUUUAGUAAGCUAUUCAUGUUCAACUUAAAUGUUUGUUAUUUAACUGUAAAAGCUAUUUCCAGCUGUAAGCAAGACUUCUUGUUGAUAUUUCUUGAAGGAAAACCCUGCUGCUGGUGAAGUAUGCAACGUGAAAUGUCAAUAAACGUUGUGAGUGUAUGUUUUA